AUAUCACUAAGCGGAGGAAAAGAAAUUAACUAAGAUUGCCUCAGUAACGGCGAGUGAAGCGGCAAAAGCCCAAACUGGUAAUCUUCGCCUUUCAGGCGACGAAUUGUAAUCUAAAGGUGGGAAACUCAACUAGCGGUGACGCAGAAGUGACCUAGAAUGGUCCGCCAGAGAGGGUGACAGCCCCGUAUGUGGUGUCGCUGCUAAACGAGUUCCUUUCGAAGAGUCGGGUUGUUUUGAAUUGCAGCCCUAAGCUGGAGAUAGACUUCUUCUAAGGCUAAAUAUAUAUGGGAGACCGAUAGCGCACAAGUA
This 309-nucleotide ribosomal RNA is filed under the name uncultured eukaryote. Its description in RNAcentral is "partial large subunit ribosomal RNA". It matches the Rfam family "Eukaryotic large subunit ribosomal RNA", at positions 40 to 350 of the family's 3401-position model. The record is from RNAcentral.